GGUAAUACGGAGGGUGCAAGCGUUGUCCGGAUUUAUUGGGUUUAAAGGGUGCGUAGGCGGGUCUUUAAGUCAGUGGUGAAAGCCUGCAGCUCAACUGUAGAACUGCCAUUGAUACUGGAGACCUUGAGUAUACUAGAGGUAGGCGGAAUUUAUGGUGUAGCGGUGAAAUGCAUAGAUACCAUAAAGAACACCGAUAGCGUAGGCAGCUUACUGGAGUAUAACUGACGCUGAUGCACGAAAGCAUGGGUAGCGAACAGGAUUAGAUAC
RNAcentral lists this ribosomal RNA (267 nucleotides) under Dinophysis acuminata. RNAcentral describes it as "partial Bacterial small subunit ribosomal RNA". It matches the Rfam family "Bacterial small subunit ribosomal RNA", at positions 519 to 785 of the family's 1533-position model. The record is from RNAcentral. Lineage: Eukaryota; Dinophyceae; Dinophysales; Dinophysaceae.